ACCUGGAUGGCUCAAUCGGUUGAGCGUCUGACUUGGGCUCAGGUCUUGAUCUCACUGCUUGUGGGUUCGAGUCCUGCAUCAGGUU
This 85-nucleotide transfer RNA is filed under the name Felis catus (domestic cat). It matches the Rfam family "tRNA". Rfam says of the family: Transfer RNA (tRNA) molecules are approximately 80 nucleotides in length. The record is from Rfam by way of RNAcentral. Lineage: Eukaryota; Metazoa; Chordata; Mammalia; Carnivora; Felidae.